This 589-nucleotide ribosomal RNA is filed under the name uncultured bacterium. RNAcentral describes it as "partial 16S ribosomal RNA". It matches the Rfam family "Bacterial small subunit ribosomal RNA", at positions 355 to 1375 of the family's 1533-position model. The record is from RNAcentral.
UGGGGAAUUUUGGACAAUGGGCGAAAGCCUGAUCCAGCAAUGCCGCGUGUGUGAAGAAGGCCUUCGGGUUGUAAAGCACUUUUGUCCGGAAAGAAAUCCUUGGCUCUAAUACAGUCGGGGGAUGACGGUACCGGAAGAAUAAGCACCGGCUAACUACGUGCCAGCAGCCGCGGUAAUACGUAGGGUGCAAGCGUUAAUCGGAAUUACUGGGCGUAAAGCGUGCGCAGGCGGUUUGCUAAGACCGAUGUGAAAUCCCCGGGCUCAACCUGGGAACUGCAUUGGUGACUGGCAGGCUAGAGUAUGGCAGAGGGGGGUAGAAUUCCACGUGUAGCAGUGAAAAUGCGUAGAGAUGUGGAGGAAUACCGAUGGCGAAGGCAGCCCCCUGGGCCAAUACUGACGCUCAUGCACGAAAGCGUGGGGAGCAAAACAGGAUUAGAUACCCUGGUAGUCCACGCCCUAAAACGAUGUCAACUAGUUGUUGGGGAUUCAUUUCCUUAGUAACGUAGCUAACGCGUGAAGUUGACCGCCUGGGGAGUACGGUCGCAAGAUUAAAAACUCAAAGGAAUUGACGGGGUCAUAGCUGUUUCCU